AUUGAACGCUGGCGGCAUGCCUUACACAUGCAAGUCGAACGGCAGCACGGGUGCUUGCACCUGGUGGCGAGUGGCGAACGGGUGAGUAAUAUAUCGGAACGUACCUUAUUGUGGGGGAUAACGCAGCGAAAGCUGUGCUAAUACCGCAUAAUCCCUAAGGGGGAAAGCGGGGGACCGUAAGGCCUCGCGCAAUUAGAGCGGCCGAUACCUGAUUAGCUAGUUGGUGAGGUAAAGGCUCACCAAGGCAACGAUCAGUAGCUGGUCUGAGAGGACGAUCAGCCACACUGGGACUGAGACACGGCCCAGACUCCUACGGGAGGCAGCAGUGGGGAAUUUUGGACAAUGGGGGCAACCCUGAUCCAGCAAUGCCGCGUGAGUGAAGAAGGCCUUCGGGUUGUAAAGCUCUUUUGUCAGGGAAGAAACAGCAGCUCUAACACAGUUUGCGAAUGACGGUACCUGAAGAAUAAGCACCGGCUAACUACGUGCCAGCCGCCGCAGUAA
This 501-nucleotide ribosomal RNA is filed under the name uncultured bacterium. RNAcentral describes it as "partial 16S ribosomal RNA". It matches the Rfam family "Bacterial small subunit ribosomal RNA", at positions 30 to 523 of the family's 1533-position model. The record is from RNAcentral.